GUGGAGCUUGCUCCAUGAUUCAGCGGCGGACGGGUGAGUAAUGCCUAGGAAUCUGCCUGGUAGUGGGGGACAACGUUUCGAAAGGAACGCUAAUACCGCAUACGUCCUACGGGAGAAAGUGGGGGAUCUUCGGACCUCACGCUAUCAGAUGAGCCUAGGUCGGAUUAGCUAGUUGGCGAGGUAAAGGCUCACCAAGGCGACGAUCCGUAACUGGUCUGAGAGGAUGAUCAGUCACACUUGGAACUGAGACACGGUCCAGACUCCUACGGGAGGCAGCAGUGGGGAAUAUUGGACAAUGGGCGAAAGCCUGAUCCAGCCAUGCCGCGUGUGUGAAGAAGGUCUUCGGAUUGUAAAGCACUUUAAGUUGGGAGGAAGGGCAGUAAGUUAAUACCUUGCUGUUUUGACGUUACCGACAGAAUAAGCACCGGCUAACUUCGUGCCAGCAGCCGCGGUAAUACCAAGGGUGCAAGCGUUAAUCGGAAUUACUGGGCGUAAAGCGCGCGUAGGUGGUUCGUUAAGUUGGAUGUGAAAGCCCCGGGCUCAACCUGGGAACUGCAUCCAAAACUGGCGAGCUAGAGUAUGGCAGAGGUGGUGGAAUUUCCUGUGUACGGUAAAUGCGUAGAUAUAGGAAGGAACACCAGUGGCGAAGCGACACCUGGGCUAAUACUGACACUGAGGUGCGAAAGCGUGGGGAGCAACAGGAUUAGAUACCCUGGUAGUCCACGCCGUAACGAUGUCGACUAGCCGUUGGGAUCCUUGAGAUCUUAGUGGCGCAAGUAACGCAUUAAGUCGACCGCCUGGGGAGUACGGCCGCAAGGUUAAAACUCAAAUGAAUUGACGGGGGCCCGCACAAGCGGUGGAGCAUGUGGUUUAAUUCGAAGCAACGCGAAGAACCUUACCAGGCCUUGACAUGCUGAGAACCUGCCAGAGAUGGCGGGGUGCCUUCGGGAACUCAGACACAGGUGCUGCAUGGCUGUCGUCAGCUCGUGUCGUGAGAUGCCUUCGGGAACUCAGACACAGGUGCUGCAUGGCUGUCGUCAGCUCGUGUCGUGAGAUGCACUCUAAGGAGACUGCCGGUGACAAACCGGAGGAAGGUGGGGAUGACGUCAAGUCAUCACACUCUAAGGAGACUGCCGGUGACAAACCGGAGGAAGGUGGGGAUGACGUCAAGUCAUCACGCGAGGUGGAGCUAAUCCCAUAAAACCGAUCGUAGUCCGGAUCGCAGUCUGCAACUCGACUGCGUGAAGUCGGAAUCGCUAGUAAUCGUGAAUCAGAAUGUCACGG
This 1284-nucleotide ribosomal RNA is filed under the name uncultured bacterium GR-WP33-28. RNAcentral describes it as "partial 16S ribosomal RNA". It matches the Rfam family "Bacterial small subunit ribosomal RNA", at positions 73 to 1362 of the family's 1533-position model. The record is from RNAcentral.